Molecule: long non-coding RNA, 1454 nt
Organism: Lolium perenne
Lineage: Eukaryota; Viridiplantae; Streptophyta; Magnoliopsida; Poales; Poaceae
Source: RefSeq, a predicted model, not a curated record
AGAAGUCAACUUGAGCAGAGAGUGAGAAGCCUGGAGGAUAAGCCAUAGCAGGAGGAAGUAGGAGGACGCUCUCCGCGUCGUUGCAAAAUCCAACAAUAAUUGAAGUCAGGAUGAGAGUGGAGGCAGGACGGAGUUGCAGAAUCGGCGCACGGCCAGACCCAGGUGGAGUGGUGUACCUUGGGGCGGCUCUAGAUGGUCGCGGGAGAAGGAGUGCGUGGCUGCGCCAGACGCAAGAGGAGCGCCGAGCGCGCUGAUUGACCUCGUUCCGACAGGCCAACGGCAUCCCUGCGCGGGUGCUGACCGCGAGUUGUCUUCCAUCACCACCGUUGUGUGAUGCAGCGGCAACUCUGCCCGCGGAUCCGGAGGUAGGAGUGACGCUGCGGCUGGUGUGGCGCCGACGUGUAGGCACCGAGUUGUAGAGCCGAGCUGCUGGGGAGGGCGAGGUCGGCGACCGAUACCUGGGAAGAGCGGGGGGAGUCGAGUAUUGAGUGGGAGAAGUUCGAUUUUGACGGUGUAUGUGGUGGUGGAGAUCUACCUUCGGCCAAGAUUCGGCACAUUGGCUGAAGUGAGGGGUGGAAGCCGGACAGUGAGAUCUGUUAGUCCUGCCGUCGGUGGCUGGAGCACGAGGCGCCACCGAAGCUCGAACCGCACCACCGCACGGGCUCAAGAUGAAGCUGCGGGUAGUGCUGGAGCGGGAGAGCGCCGCCACGCUGGCUGGGCCUGGGAGAGCCUCUACGUGCUGUGGCGGGGGGCGCUGCUGAUUUUGCCAGUGAGCUUGUGGAUAAAGAAGAGCAAGGGGCAGCAUAUAGUUACAUUGAAUACAGAACCACGAAAGCUGAGUUGGGCCGAUCUGCUAUUAAUUGGUCUGGCUGGAAACCGGCAGCGUCCAUCUCCAAGAGGGGCGCAGAGGGGAGGCGGUAGAGAUUCUAGGGCAGGCUGUCGGUGCUUUGAUGAUGGAGGCUGAUGCGGCGCCCGAACUUGCCGAGCAUGUGGUACUUCCAGUCGGCGAACUCCUAGGUGAUAUUGUCAUCAUUGCGCUCGUCUCUGUCGUCCUCUCCAAGUGUACAGAUCUCACAAGGUACGGUGUUGGGGCAAGUCGUGAAGGAGAAGGGGGCGGACCUAGAGCUAUGGGUGGCAUACAGGCAUAGCAUCCGUACCCGUGCGGCCUUGCUGUCCGCACUCAGAGCAACGAACAUGAUAAGAACAAAUUCGGAAAGUGGAGCGUUCAAGAAAGGAAGAAGACUGCGAAUUUUCUUUUCAGGACGAGUCAAACAUGGUUCGUGUCUGUUUCUGCAAAUACAGAUUUUUUCGCCAACUCAGAUGUAAUUCGAAUAGAAAUAGCAGUGCUCCAUGCGAAGUUUCACUUUCUCGAAGUUUCAUCAUGUAUUGCAAUUUGAAAGGUUGAAUAACCUACAGCCCUAGUUCACGAGAUGCCAAAAGUUCCUUCAAAUUUA